AUUGAACGCUGGCGGCAUGCCUUACACAUGCAAGUCGAACGGCAGCGGACCUUCGGGUGCCGGCGAGUGGCGAACGGGUGAGUAAUAUAUCGGAACGUACCUUUCAGUGGGGGAUAACGUAGCGAAAGUUACGCUAAUACCGCAUAUUCUGUGAGCAGGAAAGCAGGGGAUCGCAAGACCUUGCGCUGAUUGAGCGGCCGAUAUCAAAUUAGCUAGUUGGUGAGGUAAAGGCUCACCAAGGCGACGAUCUGUAGCGGGUCUGAGAGGAUGAUCCGCCACACUGGAACUGAGACACGGUCCAGACUCCUACGGGAGGCAGCAGUGGGGAAUUUUGGACAAUGGGCGCAAGCCUGAUCCAGCCAUGCCGCGUGAGUGAAGAAGGCC
This 384-nucleotide ribosomal RNA is filed under the name uncultured bacterium. Its description in RNAcentral is "bacterial SSU rRNA". It matches the Rfam family "Bacterial small subunit ribosomal RNA", at positions 30 to 416 of the family's 1533-position model. The record is from RNAcentral.